This 455-nucleotide ribosomal RNA is filed under the name uncultured bacterium. RNAcentral describes it as "bacterial SSU rRNA". It matches the Rfam family "Bacterial small subunit ribosomal RNA", at positions 340 to 786 of the family's 1533-position model. The record is from RNAcentral.
UACGGGAGGCAGCAGUGGGGAAUAUUGCACAAUGGGCGCAAGCCUGAUGCAGCCAUGCCGCGUGUAUGAAGAAGGCCUUCGGGUUGUAAAGUACUUUCAGUCGUGAGGAAGGUGUUAAGGUUAAUAACCUUAGCAAUUGACGUUAGCGACAGAAGAAGCACCGGCUAACUCCGUGCCAGCAGCCGCGGUAAUACGGAGGGUGCGAGCGUUAAUCGGAAUUACUGGGCGUAAAGGGCACGCAGGCGGUUAAUUAAGUUGGAUGUGAAAUCCCCGGGCUUAACCUGGGAAUGGCAUUCAAGACUGGUUAGCUAGAGUCUUGUAGAGGGGGUAGAAUUCCAUGUGUAGCGGUGAAAUGCGUAGAGAUGUGGAGGAAUACCGGUGGCGAAGGCGGCCCCUGGACAAAGACUGACGCUCAUGUGCGAAAGCGUGGGGAGCAAACAGGGAUUUUAGAUACC